UCGAACGGAAAGGCCUCAGCUUGCUGGGGUACUCGAGUGGCGAACGGGUGAGUAACACGUGGGUGAUCUGCCCUGCACUUUGGGAUAAGCUUGGGAAACUGGGUCUAAUACCGAAUAUGACCACUUCUUGGAUGUUGUGGUGGAAAGCUUUUGCGGUGUGGGAUGAGCCUGCGGCCUAUCAGCUUGUUGGUGGGGUAAUGGCCUACCAAGGCGGCGACGGGUAUCCGGCCUGAGAGGGUGUACGGACACAUUGGGACUGAGAUACGGCCCAGACUCCUACGGGAGGCAGCAGUGGGGAAUAUUGCACAAUGGGCGCAAGCCUGAUGCAGCGACGCCGCGUGGGGGAUGAAGGCCUUCGGGUUGUAAACUCCUUUCGCUAUCGACGAAGCCACUUGUGGUGACGGUAGGUAGAUAAGAAGCACCGGCUAACUACGUGCCAGCAGCCGCGGUAAUACGUAGGGUGCAAGCGUUGUCCGGAAUUACUGGGCGUAAAGAGCUCGUAGGUGGUUUGUCGCGUCGUCUGUGAAAUCCCGGGGCUUAACUUCGGGCGUGCAGGCGAUACGGGCAUAACUUGAGUGCUGUAGGGGAGACUGGAAUUCCUGGUGUAGCGGUGAAAUGCGCAGAUAUCAGGAGGAACACCGAUGGCGAAGGCAGGUCUCUGGGCAGUAACUGACGCUGAGGAGCGAAAGCAUGGGUAGCGAACAGGAUUAGAUACCCUGGUAGUCCAUGCCGUACACGGUGGGCGCUAGGUGUAGGGGGCUUCCACGUC
This 769-nucleotide ribosomal RNA is filed under the name Corynebacterium sp. ECNN8_I. RNAcentral's name for it is "bacterial SSU rRNA". It matches the Rfam family "Bacterial small subunit ribosomal RNA", at positions 62 to 838 of the family's 1533-position model. The record is from RNAcentral. Lineage: Bacteria; Bacillati; Actinomycetota; Actinomycetes; Mycobacteriales; Corynebacteriaceae.